This 4912-nucleotide long non-coding RNA is filed under the name Podarcis lilfordi (Lilford's wall lizard). The record is from RNAcentral. Lineage: Eukaryota; Metazoa; Chordata; Lepidosauria; Squamata; Lacertidae.
AUGAAACAUUCAUCUGAAAGAAUGAGUACAACCAGAAGGGACUCACUAGGAAUACAAUUAAAUCCUAAUCUGGGCAGGAGAAAUCCUCUGAAGAGACGAUGGCAGGAAAACAAUGAGAAUAGGAAGGGGGAAACUAGGUGAGGCGAUGUUCGGCUUUCUGGUAUCGUCCCUCGGACCUCCAUAAAGAAGGCAGCGGCCCAUCAAACCCAGUCCACUAUAAUGUUUAAAAGUCCACUCCAUGUUUUCUACUAGGCCUAGCUGACCAGAAUCAGGAGCCAUUUUAGGUUUUCCUCAGGGCUCACUUCCUUCUCACUCUAGGCUUGGUCAGCCAGACUCAGGUAGGCCUCAGCGAACAGAUCUGUUUGCACUAAAGCUGCUUAAACGAAGCUGGACUUUUGCUUUGAAGAGCAUUUCCCAGGGUCCACAAAGAAGCUUACCCAGGAAUCAGUACUAUUUUUCUAGAAAAAGAGGUGCUGGAACUCGUCACGAACGCCUCCCUCGUUCUAUUGAAUGACAACAGCUCUGACCUGAAAAGUGCCGGAACUGAAUUCCGGAAAGUUCCGGCUGAAAAAAGCCCUGAUCCUUGGUAAUCCAGGCAUGCACCUGAAGUUCAAGUUCUGCUGCUGGUUCAGGUGCUGCUGGUUUAAUCCUCCACCUCAUCUCUGGUUGCCCUUUCCUUCUGACCCCUCUUGGCACCCGGCCUGCUUGUCUUCCUAGAAUUGUGCCUGUUUACCUGGCUGUUCAACCUUGUUAACCUGCCUAUUUUUGCUUUCAUACAGUUGGUGGGGGGGAGCCCUGCCUGGACUGUUGCAUUGCAAUCUGUGUGGGGCUUCCCUUGCCGCUGGUCUCAAGGCUGCAGCUGGGGCAGGACCCCACAGCCCAGUUGAGGGCUGGUGCUCCUUAUCGGGCACACAUCCUGCCAGUGCUGAGCGUGCUGCACUGGCUGCCAAUCAGACACCAAGCCUUUUUUUGGGGAUUCUGCUACUUACAUACAAAGCCCUAAAUAAAUCUGCACCAUGUUACUACCACCUUCUGCUCUGUUGCCCGCUAAGGGUGCUACAGCCAGCAAAUGUCACCUUUUGAGAUCCUCUCUAAAGAACAACGAGAGAGAUCUUUUCUAUCUGAGCUCAGCUGGUUAGAGCAGGGGUCAGCAAUUUUUUUUAGCCACGGGCCAGUCCACUGUCCCUCAGACCUUGUGGUGGGCCAGAGAAGGGGCACCUAGGGAGGAGAGAGCUGGAAGAAGAGGUGAGGGGGGCAAGUAGUCCUACCCUCUAGCCCCAGCCCCAGCCGCUGUGCUUACCUUCCCAGGGGCUGCCGCCACCACCACCACCACUACUGUUUGUUCUUCUUGUGGGUAGGCAGAGUGAGCUCGUCCGCUCUGCUCUCUGGCCCACAGGAGCACCAGGGCGGCGGUGGCAGCAGCGGCAGAGGGAAGAUGAGCGGCUCGAAAGGGCUGGCUCCAGAGAGGGACUGCUUAAAAUGGCACUCAGUCAGCUCAGCCUAGCCCUCAUCCUCCUCUAGGCAAGGCGAGGAGAAGCCAGGAGGAGGGAGGGAGGAGUGUGUGUGGGGGGGGGAUGGAAUGGGGCAGGGAGGGAUAUGGCACAGCCCGAACGAACAGAAUCCCCAUGCCAAUCCACGGACAGUCUGCUGGCCGGAUCCUGAAGGCAAUUGGGCCUGAUCCGGCCCGCAGCCCUUAGUUUGGCAAUCCCUGGGUUAGAGGUAAAAAUGUAAAGGUAAAGGGACCCCUGACCAUUAGGUCCAAUCGUGGCUGACUCGGGGGGUUAGAGGUAAGGACCCUUAUAUGGUUAAGACCAGUCAAAGGCGAUUAUGGGUUGCGAUGCUCAUCUCGCUUUCAGGCCGAGGGAGCCGGCGUUUGUCCACAGACAACUUUCUGGGUCAUGUGGCCAACAUGACUAAACUGCUUCUGGCGCAACAGGACAUCGUGACGGAAACCAGAGUGCACGGAAACGCUGUUUACCUUCCCGCCGCAGCGGUACGUACUUAUCUACUUGCACUGGUGUGCUUUCGAACUGCUAGGUUGGCAGGAUCUGGGACAGAGCAACGGGAGCUCACUCUGUCAUGGGGAUUUGAACUGCCCGCCUUCUGAUCGGCAAGCCCAAGAGGCUCAAUGGUUUAGACCACAGCGCCACCCUUGUGUGUAUCAGCAUGGUGCUGAUAAUGCCAAGGUUUGCAGGUUCGAUCCCCCUAUGGGAGGACAGCUGCAUAUUCCUGCAUUGCGGGGGGUUGGGCUAGAUGAUCCUCAGGAUCCCUUCCAACUCUGCAGUUCUAUGAUCUUCGGGAUUAUCUCCAAUCUCAGCUCUGUGGUGCUUAGCAUCGAGAUCUGAGAAGCUUUCACCACAACACAAUGUGGCCCUGUGGUUGAAAAAUGUUCCCUGCGCUUCUGCUAUGUGCAGUUAACCUGGGAGCAACUCCCAUGGAACUUAGUAGAGUUUACUUCUGAGUAAAUCUCUGAGUGGGCCUAACCCAUAGUGCUAGCCCUCUGUUUUCAGUUUCAACACUCCAGCCACAUAUAAUGAAAUGAGGAAGAAAAGGUUUCUUUCUGAUAAAUCCCCACUUCCCUUGAGCCAAUCCUCUUUUGUCCAAUGUCCUUAGCAUGCUGUUUGCCUUGACUGCAGCCCAAGAGGUAAUGCCCAUUUCUUCUAGCAGAAAAAAGAGGUUUUAUAGGUUACAUUUAAGAGUGGCAGCCCUAAAAGAUACAGAUCUUUUGCCUGGGGUUAACAACUCCGGAGAUUUCUGAAGGUACAUUAACACCUUAGAUUUAGGUACCACACAGCAACAAGCAUACAUCUUUGGAAGAUGGAAGCAAAUCAGACACUGCCUUUGUAUGUCACAGGGGAUUACACCGUUUUAGUGUUUAUGCCCUUUGGCUUUACAAAUGUACCUGUCAGUGCUCCAGAGGUUAGCGAGGAGGGUCUGGGUUAAAAUGGACUUACUGGAGUUAUUUUGCUUUCUGCAGAUCACGUGGAAACUUCAGGAGAUUGGGAAAGGCUUGUUGUGAUUCAGAAGGAUUAUGGAGCCUUUGGUUGUUUAACGUUGUUGGGCUUUUAUGGUGCUUUUAGGCAAUGCUUUUCUUCUGCAUACCCUUUGCAUACCCAGAAAAAAGCACUGCUUUUAUGGAUUUGUGCUGGUCUGGCUUGCUGCUCAAUAUGCGCGCAAGCUACCUAAACUGGAGAAAUUCAGAAUCUACAGAGUGGCAUCCGUCAGUUGAAUUGUUUUAUGGCUUAUCUAAUAAUGCAUGUUUAGAAACCGGAAGGAUUCCUGUUUUGGUCAUAUAAGUGUGACCUGCAACAAAAUGGUGGAGUCUGGAGUGCUCUUAUUCAGGAUGCCGGCCAGCCAUGACCUUUUCCAGGAUAUUCCAUUCCAUCCCCCCCAUAAUUUUCAGUUCUGCCAUGCAACAGUCAGUCAGCAUUCGGCUGUUUAGGGGAUUCGUUUCCCUCCUCAAAAAUUCAUUGUCCAUCUGAAAACCUUGGUGUCCCCCUUUGUCUGCUGAUAUCUUCCCUUUUUUGUGUGGGUCAUGCUGCUUUGGCUACUUAAGGACGGACAGUUGGAAAAUGAGUGGACUCUGGGAAAACAAUAUAGGAUUGUGUAACUUCAGAGUACCCCAGAGUACCUAAGGAGCUUACUGGGAACUCACUGUAUGAAACUGAAGCCCGGGGGUCAAGAACACUAGGGAUAACAUUGACUCUUUUGAGUUACUGGUAUUAUUAGUUAGUAGUAGUAGUGUUCAUAUUGUUAUUAGUAAUAGUCUUGGUAGUAUUAAUAGUAAAGAUAAAAGUAAAAGACCCCUGGACGGUUAAGUCCAAUCAAAGGCGACUAUGGGGUUGUGGCGCUCAUCUUGCUUUCAGGCCGAGGGAGUCGGUGUUUGUCCACAGACAGCUUUUCUGGCUCAUGUGGCCAGCAUGACUAAACCACUUCUGGCGCAACAGAACACUGUGACAGAAGUCAGAGUGCAUGGAAACGCUGUUUACCUUCCCGCCGGAGCGGUACCUACCGUAUUUAUCUGCUUGCACUGGCGUGGUUUUGAACUGCUAGGUUGGCAGGAGCUGGGACAGAGCAACGGGAGCUCACCCCAUUGCGGGGAUUCAAACCACUGACCUUCUGAUCGGCAAGCCCAAGAGGCUCAGUGGUUUAGAACAUAGCGCCAUCCGCUUCCCAUAGUUAGUAGUAUUCAUAUUAUUAGUAGCAUUUCUUACCUGUCCUUCACCAGAAGGUCAUAAGGUAUACUACAUAUAUAAAACAACAAACAGUUUAAAAAAAUCAGUCUAUAAAAUGCAUUAUAGGGAGGGCACCCAAAUCAGUUAUUCAAUUUCCCAAGAGAUGGACAUAAGCUGUAAAGGAAUGAUGCUUAGAUGUACCUCUGUGGGGAAGGAGUUCUACCAGUGGCAGACUUGUGGUUUAAAUUUUCAGUGCUGCCUUGUGUGAUGCCAAAAUUUGAUGCCCUGCACCUCUCACCUUCCACUGUUUGUCAUUAUUGCAGCCCUGAGUGCAGGUGAACUAGCCGUGCUCCCCUAAAUCCUCUGGCUCUAUAUUCUUUGAGCCACCAUUGAGAAGAUCCUCUCACGAGCCCCAAUCCCACUGAACUUCUUAGAGCGAUGGAAGAAGUUCCAGGCGGUUUCCUCUGCUCGGCCUCCUGCUUAGAGAAGCUUAAAAGGUUGGUGUUGUUGCUUGGGUAGCCACAGGACAGGACCCUCAGCACCCUUUUGCAGCCCACCACUCUAAAAAAUCACCCACCUCCUGUUUUAUAGCUGUGUGACACAACUUACAUGCUUAGCCCAGGCUCCAGCCUUAGUCACAUAACUGGAAAUAUCUUUUCCUAAGAGUUUGGAUAAAUGCUUUCAUCAUGUGGCUCAGAUAUCUUAGCAUUGCCUGAUCAUUGCUUUUUUGGGGGGGG